AAUCAGAUUAAUAUAGAUCCUCGUAUAUAAUUGGGAAUAUGGCCCAGAAGUUUCUACCCGAUGACCGUAAAUCGUUGGACUAUGAGGGAAAGUGUAUGUAUA
Molecule: non-coding RNA, 102 nt
Filed under: Metabacillus harenarius
Lineage: Bacteria; Bacillati; Bacillota; Bacilli; Caryophanales; Bacillaceae
Description: Bacillus weihaiensis Guanine sequence
Rfam family: Purine riboswitch aptamer
About the family: Riboswitches are metabolite binding domains within certain messenger RNAs that serve as precision sensors for their corresponding targets.
Source: Rfam by way of RNAcentral